GACGAACGCUGGCGGCGUGCUUAACACAUGCAAGUCGAACGGAGUGGCGAACGGGUGAGUAACACGUGGGUGACCUGCCCUGCACUUCGGGAUAAGCCCGGGAAACUGGGUCUAAUACCGGAUAGUGUGGGAUGGGGCCGCGGCCUAUCAGCUUGUUGGUGGGGUAACGGCCUACCAAGGCGGCGACGUGUAGCCGGCCUUAGAGGGUGGACGGGCACAUUGGGACUGGGGAACGGCCCAGACUGCUACGGGAGGCAGCAGUGGGGAAUAUGGCACAAUGGGCGGAAGCCUGAUGCAGCGACGCAGCGUGGGGGAUGACGGCUUUCGAGUUGUAAACUCCUUUCACCAUCGACGCGGUAGAUGGAGAAGAAGCACCGGCUAACUACGUGCCAGCAGCCGCGGUAAUAC
Molecule: ribosomal RNA, 408 nt
Filed under: uncultured bacterium
Lineage: Bacteria
Description: partial 16S ribosomal RNA
Rfam family: Bacterial small subunit ribosomal RNA
Source: RNAcentral